UUAAGGGAGGAAGUACUACUCCCUUUUUUUUAGAGUGUGGUACAUGCUUGUUCUUAGUUGCUGGAGCGAUUUCUGUGGUUAACUCCGAUAACGAACGAGACUCUAGCCUAUUAAAUAGGUGCGUGGUUCUCUGCACCUUGCACCCUUCUCAGACGGACAAGCGGCUCCUAGCCGCACGAAACAGAGCAAUAACAGGACUGUGAUGCCUUUAGAU
Molecule: ribosomal RNA, 214 nt
Filed under: Ixodes scapularis (black-legged tick)
Lineage: Eukaryota; Metazoa; Arthropoda; Arachnida; Ixodida; Ixodidae
Description: Eukaryotic small subunit ribosomal RNA
Rfam family: Eukaryotic small subunit ribosomal RNA
Source: Rfam by way of RNAcentral